GGGCCUGCUCAAUGCGAUUACGGGUAGCCGGCCUGAGAGGGCGACCGGCCACACUGGGACUGAGACACGGCCCAGACUCCUGCGGGAGGCAGCAGUGGGGAAUAUUGCGCAAUGGGCGAAAGCCUGACGCAGCGACGCCGCGUGGGGGAUGACGGCCUUCGGGUUGUAAACCUCUUUUACCACCAACGCAGGCCCGGAGUUCUCUUCGGGUUGACGGUAGGUGGGGAAUAAGGACCGGCUAACUACGUGCCAGCAGCCGCGGUAAUACGUAGGGUCCGAGCGUUGUCCGGAAUUAUUGGGCGUAAAGAGCUCGUAGGCGGCGUGUCGCGUCUGCUGUGAAAGACCGGGGCUUAACUCCGGUUCUGCAGUGGAUACGGGCAUGCUAGAGGUAGGUAGGGGAGACUGGAAUUCCUGGUGUAGCGGUGAAAUGCGCAGAUAUCAGGAGGAACACCGGUGGCGAAGGCGGGUCUCUGGGCCUUACCUGACGCUGAGGAGCGAAAGCAUGGGGAGCGAACAGGAUUAGAUACCCUGGUAGUCCAUGCCGUAAACGUUGGGCGCUAGGUGUGGGGACUUUCCACGGUUUCCGCNGCCGU
This 593-nucleotide ribosomal RNA is filed under the name Nocardiopsis sp. RNAcentral describes it as "bacterial SSU rRNA". It matches the Rfam family "Bacterial small subunit ribosomal RNA", at positions 261 to 849 of the family's 1533-position model. Lineage: Bacteria; Bacillati; Actinomycetota; Actinomycetes; Streptosporangiales; Nocardiopsidaceae. The record is from RNAcentral.